Sus scrofa (pig) is the source of this 801-nucleotide non-coding RNA. The record is from RefSeq and is a predicted model, not a curated record. Lineage: Eukaryota; Metazoa; Chordata; Mammalia; Artiodactyla; Suidae.
AGUAUAUGAUCAAUAAUGAUUUAUUUAAUUAUUGAAUGAAUAAUAAAUUCUUUGUCAGAUAUUUCUGCUAUUUAGUUUAUGAGAGAACUGUCGUUUUUAUCUUAUGUAUUUUGUGGAAAUGGAAAAUAGAAAUUUAAGAGAAUAAUAAUAGACAUACUCAUAUCCAAAAAAGUGUUCAGUGGGAUUUUCUUUUUUUUAGACAGUGUGAGGUGUGGACUUCUUUCUUUUUUUCAGUGUUAUGAUAUCUACAGGGUUUAACGUAGAAUAUAGGCUUACCAAAGAAAAUUCUUUCAAAUCUAUAUAAAAAUUUACUUAGGUUUUCAGAAGCCCACCAUGAACUGAAAUUCUACUCAGACAUUAUAUAUGGGUAGUUUCAUGACUUUUCCCUUUAUGCUAUUUAAAAGUGUUUUAUAAAAUGGUUCUUUACUUUUGUUUCUUGAUUUAGCACUGACUUUGAUUUCUCAAUGAGUCCUCUGUGGUCUGAUAUGUCUUAAGCUGAAUGGGGCUUGUGGUUCCAUGGAAAUCUUGAGUCGUCUUCCUCACAUUUGGCAUUGAAAUGGCAGUAGUUAGUAAAGAUGGGGCAUCUGUGUCUUGUGAAAAACAUGGAGGAAAGUGUAUUUGAGACCUGUCUUUGCUGUUUAUUAAUUGUGAGUCUGAGUUUACUUUGCCCUGCAGUGAGAAUUGUGGUUGAUUUGGAACAGAGAAGAGAUUAUUGGGCAAAUGAUUGGCCUUGGACCCCUUGCUGGAGAGCAUAUCAAGGAGACUGUGGAGAUCAAGGAUGGUCUGGGAGAAUAUGUCCUG